Molecule: ribosomal RNA, 258 nt
Filed under: uncultured bacterium
Lineage: Bacteria
Description: partial 16S ribosomal RNA
Rfam family: Bacterial small subunit ribosomal RNA
Source: RNAcentral
GUCCACGCCGUAAACGUUGGGCACUAGGUGUGGGUUCAACCAACGAAAUCCGCGCCGUCGCUAACGCAUUAAGUGCCCCGCCUGGGGAGUACGGUCGCAAGACUAAACUCAAAGGAAUUGACGGGCCCGCACAAGCAGCGGAGCGUGUUGCUUAAUUCGAUGCAACGCGAAGAACCUUACCUGGGCUUGACAUGUACGGAAAAGCCGUAGAGAUACGGUGUCCUUCGGGCCGGUACACAGGUGGUGCAUGGCUGUCGU